CCUACUAGAGAUCAGAACAGGUACAUAAUGAGAGAUCUCCAUCAGUGAGCUUGGCACCAGCCACAGGUGGCCCACUGCCACCAGAGCUGGGCACAGGCCCACUUCCAGCUGCUACUCAUGAUGGAGCAAAAACCCUCACUUCUAGCCAUCACCCCUCCAGAUCUGGUACAGAGCCCGGAAAAGGAAGCCUUAGGUGUGAGUGAAGCCUCAGUGAACACACACACGUGUCAGCAAUGGACCAGCUGCUGCCAAAUCACACAACUACGCAACACGUUGCUCAGAAAUGCCAAUGGUGACUAGCAGAGUGCAAACAUUACUAUGACAAUGGAGCAGAGGCCCGGGGCGGCACCGAGCCUUGGUAAGAGCCGACAGAAAUGGCAGGUCACAGGCCGUCACUGAGGAGAACUGCAAUGCGGCAACACUUAUAUGACACUUAAUUUGGGUCA
RNAcentral lists this long non-coding RNA (446 nucleotides) under Homo sapiens (human). Its description in RNAcentral is "FANK1 antisense RNA 1 (FANK1-AS1)". Lineage: Eukaryota; Metazoa; Chordata; Mammalia; Primates; Hominidae. The record is from RNAcentral.